RNAcentral lists this ribosomal RNA (1025 nucleotides) under uncultured bacterium. RNAcentral describes it as "bacterial SSU rRNA". It matches the Rfam family "Bacterial small subunit ribosomal RNA", at positions 28 to 1047 of the family's 1533-position model. The record is from RNAcentral.
GAUGAACGCUAGCGGCAGGCUUAAUACAUGCAAGUCGAGGGGUAACAGUUAAGUAGCAAUACUUGAGCUGACGACCGGCAAACGGGUGCGGAACACGUGCGAAACCUUCCCUUAUCUGGGGGAUAGCCCGAAGAAAUUCGGAUUAAUACCCCAUAAAAUAUUAGAGUGGCAUCACUUAAAUAUUAAAACUCCGGUGGAUGAGGAUGGUCGCGCGUAUGAUUAGGUAGUUGGCGGGGUAACGGCCCACCAAGCCUACGAUCAUUAGCUGAUGUGAGAGCAUGAUCAGCCACACGGGCACUGAGACACGGGCCCGACUCCUACGGGAGGCAGCAGUAAGGAAUAUUGGUCAAUGGACGCAAGUCUGAACCAACCAUGCCGCGUGAAGGAUUAAGGUCCUCUGGAUUGUAAACUUCUUUUAUAGGGGGCGAAACCCUUCAUAUCUGUGAAGCUUGACGGUACCCUAUGAAUAAGCACCGGCUAACUCCGUGCCAGCAGCCGCGGUAAUACGGAGGGUGCAAGCGUUAUCCGGAUUUACUGGGUUUAAAGGGUGCGUAGGCGGACUUGUAAGUCUGAGGUGAAAUCUCCGAGCUUAACUCGGAAACUGCCUUGGAUACUAUAGGUCUUGAAUGUCGUUGAGGUCAGCGGAAUAUGUCAUGUAGCGGUGGAAUGCUUAGAUAUGACAUAGAACACCUAUUGCGAAGGCAGCUGACUAAGCGAAUAUUGACGCUGAGGCACGAAAGCGUGGGGAUCAAACAGGAUUAGAUACCCUGGUAGUCCACGCCCUAAACGAUGAUUACUCGACGUGCGCGAUACACAGUGCGCGUCUGAGCGAAAGCAUUAAGUAAUCCACCUGGGAAGUACGUUCGCAAGAAUGAAACUCAAAGGAAUUGGCGGGGGUCCGCACAAGCGGUGGAGUAUGUGGUUUAAUUCGAUGAUACGCGAGGAACCUUACCUGGGCUAGAAUGCGAAUGACCGAUCCUGAAAGGGAUAAUUCUAGCAAUAGACAUGAAGCAAGGUGCUGCAUG